Molecule: unclassified non-coding RNA, 336 nt
Filed under: soil metagenome
Description: partial contains 5.8S ribosomal RNA, internal transcribed spacer 2, and large subunit ribosomal RNA
Rfam family: 5.8S ribosomal RNA (bases 1-120)
Source: RNAcentral
GAUGAAGAACGCAGCGAAAUGCGAUAAGUAAUGUGAAUUGCAGAAUUCAGUGAAUCAACGAAUCUUUGAACGCACAUUGCGCCCGCCAGUAUUCUGGCGGGCAUGCCUGUUCGAGCGUCAUUUCAACCAUCAAGCCCCCGGGCUUGUGUUGGGGACCUGCGGCUGCCGCAGGCCCUGAAAAGCAGUGGCGGGCUCGCUGUCACACCGAGCGUAGUAGCAUACAUCUCGCUCUGGGCGUGCUGCGGGUUCCGGCCGUUAAACCACCUUUUAACCCAAGGUUGACCUCGGAUCAGGUAGGAAGACCCGCUGAACUUAAGCAUAUCAAUAAGCGGAGGA